UUUUGAUCCAGUAAUAACACUAGUAGGGUUUUAUCCCAAAGAGAUUGUAGAGAAGGGAAAAAGACCUACAUAUGCAAAAAUAUAGCUGCUCUUUUUGUGAUGGCAAAGAUAUGGAAAUUGAUGGAAUGCCCAUCAGUUUGGGAAUGACUGAAAUUGUGGUCUAUGACUAUAAUGGAAUACUAUUGUGCUAUAAGAAAUGAUAAGCAGGCAGAUUUCAGAAAAACUUAGACUUAUGAACUGAUACUGAGUAAAGUGAUCAUUGUAAACCUUAACAGCAACAUUGUGCAAUGAUCAACUAUGAUUGACUCAGCUCUUCUCAGUGAUCCACUGAUCCAAGAUAAUUCUAAAAGAUUCAUGACAAAAUACUAACCACAUCCAGAGAAAGAGUCAAAGAUUCUGAAUUCAGAUUGAAGAAUACUUUCAUUUGUUUUUUGUAGCUUUUCCCUUUUCUGUUUCUUUUUUCACAGCAUGCCUAAUUUGGAAAUAUGUUGUCAAGACUGCAUAUGUAUCCUAUAUCAGAUUACUUGCCGUCUUGGUGAAGGAGGAUGAGAAGGAAGGCAGAGGAAAAAAAUUAGAAUUCAAAAUCAUUUUUUAUAUUUAAAAAAUGAAUGUUGAGAACUAUCUUUACAUGUAAGUGGAAAAAAGUAAACUACUAUUUACAAAAGUAAAAAAAAAUAAUAUUCACUCUAAACCAUAAUGCAGCAUUAUCUAUGAAGAAAGUAUAAAUCUUUAGAAUGAUAGAGAUGAAAAAGAUCUUUAAAACAAAGGCAGCUAAAUGGCAUAGUGGAUAGAGCACUGCUACUGGAGUCAGGAUAGACCUAAAUUAAAAUCUAUUUGGACACUUAGUAGCUGGAUGACUGGACAAGUCAUCUGACUCCUGUCUAUCUCCAUUUUCUCAAUAGUAAAAUGUAGACAAUAAUAGCACUUCCCUCCCAGAGUUGUUGUGAAGACCAAAGAUCAAAUGUUUCUUCCCUUCCUUCCUUUAAGAGACUGAGUUCUCAAUGUUAAGUGACUUGUCCAAAGUCUUACAAUUAGUUAGCAAUAAAACCAGGAAUAGAAUCUAGGCCUACUGAUUUACAAUCCAGUUUUUUUCCUACUAUAUCAUAUUGCCUUCCAGGUGUGUAGAAAUCCAAUGUGAGGGUAUAGGUAGAUAUAAUCACAAGUACAAUAAAAACUGUAACUCUCUUCUCUUGGUUGUCACACAGAAUUCAGAGUGGGAAAAUCGAAGGGUUUUUGUGUUUUUUUGUUUUGUUUUUUUUUUAAUCAAAUUUGUUUAACAAGCAUCUUCAGCUAUGCAUUUGACCAGACAGUCACUGUCAUUACGAAGGCCCAUUUCAAGUAUUCCUUUUUUACCUGGCUAUUAACUUUGGGAAAAAGUAACUGAUACUUUCAAAUCCAUGCUGACAAGUAUGAUGAUGCUUUUCCAUUCCCAUAAUUGACCUGAUUUAGGAUGACCACUCCAAGAAUAUAUUUUGUUUUAGGGUUUUCUCUAUAAAAGUUCAGGAAACUGAAUUUUUAAUAAAGAUAUCAAAUAGAUUUUAUUUUAUUUAAAUAAUAGUGACAGGAAUUAAUAAAAAGGGGUCUGAAUCACUUUGAGUUACAACAGUGACACAAGUCCUUCGUGCCUCCAUUUUUUCACUAUGUAAUGAGGUUAAUGAGAAAUCUGUCUCAAUGUAGUUUUUUCAAUGGAUUUUUAUUAUUUUUUUUUCAGAAUUUAUAUUUCCUUUUUCACUCUUCUCCUUCUCAAAGAACCACCCUUUAUAACAAAUAGCUUUUAAAAAAAUGAAGAAAAAAUAUUCAGCAAAACCAAACAAUGCAUUGAAAAAAUUCAGACUUUACCAGUAUUUCACACCUAAGGAUCUGCAUCUCUGAAAAGCAUCAUGAGAAGUAGGACCUUCAAGUACUUCUUCUUUGGGACCAACCUUAUUCUUUAUAAAUUCUCUAUGUUCAGAUUCUAUUAUUUUGUGUUUCUUUACCUUUCUGUUGGUUUGGUCAUUAUUUGCAUUGUUUUCUUCCUACCAACAUCUGUGAUGUAAUGGGCCAGUGUGUAAAACAAUGCAGAAAUGGAAUCAGAGAGUCACUUAGAAAAAAUCUCAGUAGAAUGUCUUUUAUCAUUAAACUAUAUUCUGUUAGUUCCAGAACAGCCUUGUAUCAUCCUAUCUUUAGAGAGGAAACAAAAUGAAACACACCCUAACAAGGAGUCCUUCCAACAAUGUUUACAGUUUUGGAAUAACAGCUGUCAAAACGGUAUUGUCAAGUUUUUAGAAAGUUUUAAAUGCUUUUAGUAAAGUUUUUAUAAUCUUCCCUUGAGGAAACUAUCUCAUUUCUCACAGAAAGAACAUUUCUUUCUUUCUCUACAAAAUGUAAUGCCAGUGUUUUAAAUGUAAACAUGCAAAUCAUUAUGAAAUCCUCUCUGCAGGUAUGGGAUACAGAGAGCCAAGCAAAAAUUUAACAAUAGGAAGAUGAUAUUGUCUAAUGUCUUUUGCAAGGUUGAACUGGAUUUAAGAGAAGAAAUUCUAUGGAGCUUAAGUUCAAACAAUAACCUACACCCUUUCAACCUGAAAAGCUACAUGUAAGGAAUGGC
This is a long non-coding RNA of Sarcophilus harrisii (Tasmanian devil), 2584 nucleotides long. The record is from Ensembl. Lineage: Eukaryota; Metazoa; Chordata; Mammalia; Dasyuromorphia; Dasyuridae.